This is a long non-coding RNA of Gadus macrocephalus (Pacific cod), 994 nucleotides long. RefSeq lists it as uncharacterized. Lineage: Eukaryota; Metazoa; Chordata; Actinopteri; Gadiformes; Gadidae. The transcript has 2 exons. The record is from RefSeq and is a predicted model, not a curated record.
UCUUCAAUGCACAAGAGCACCAUAAUAUUGUUCGACCCCUCAUAAUAUGGGUUUCAAACAGCCACACUGAACAUCCAGAAGAAUAGAUGUAGGCCUACAAACACACACAUUAGAUUCACAGUAAAGAGCGACAAAAUGUUGCGAUCUAAGUGAAAAUAAUGUUUAGCCAACAGUGUAUUACUGAAGUGCACAUGGAUUGAUUGGGUGAAGAUGGUUCCUAAUUACUGGCUGCGACAAUGAGGACAUUUGACUGUAAUCAAAAAUGUUGUUUGCAAUACCCCUUUUUCUUUCUUUUCUUUUCAAACGCAAUGACCACCGCAAUGACCAUGACACAGACCGCCGCAAUGACCAUCGCAAUGACCCCAACAGUCCCGACCACAGUCCCUGCAAUGCCCCCUGGAGUCAAGACUACAGCCAGAGCCAGGCUGCUGUUGAUAAUGGGGUCAAUGUGUUCUACAAGCAGAAAUACAUUGAAGGGUGAUUGGCAAAGCCUCUGAAUCUGAAUCAACGCAUAGUUGGACCACACACUAAUGGCUAACACACUCAGCCACCCCCAACAGGGUUGCUUAACUCUGUUGAACCCUUGUGAUGUCUGUGAAGUUGCUGACUAUAUUUCAAUUUAAUCUACCGAUUUGGGUGUUGAAUAUCUUGGUUUAGGUUUGGCAAACACUACAGAUUAUUCUAAUUUAAAGAGGUAAAUCAAUGUUUUACUUUGGAAUUCAGGGUUUAUAUACUAUACUGCUUUGAGCGGCAUAGAGAAAAAUAAUAAUCAACAGCAAACGAUUGGAUCCAGGAUAAUUUGUCGGUGGGAUUAGCUGUAGAAGUACAAUACUGACAGGUAAUGUUAAUUGUACCGCCCUCAAAAGACUUCAGUUACACAUUAGAUGACCAAACAACAAGAACAACCAAAGUUCAGUAGAAAAGGGGAAAACAUUCAAAAUAUAAGCAAAUAACGACCACAUUAGGUUUGCAUGUUGCCAUUUGUGGAGUUGGU